UAGAAUCACUGCACUUAGCCUCUAUUUUAAUGUUUGGAACCUUGCCACUACUAAAGUCAUUUAAUGAAAUCACAAUUUAUGAUCACAAUAUAUAUCUAUAUAUAUUUAUUUAUUUAUUUAUAUAUAUUGUAUAAAAAAAAGUCAUUUUAGUUGUUUUAUAUUUUCUUAAGGUCUGGUAUUUUGUUUCGUCUUCACCACCAUUGUCAGUGUUUCUAUUUUAAUUUUUUAAUUUUUGUUUGUUUGUUAUUUAUUUAUAAUAUGUUUAUUAUUAUAAUAAUAAUUUUUAUUAUUAUUACUGAUUUGGCUCUCUUUGUAAUUUGUAUGAUUAAUACAAUAGCACAUGAAUAGAUGAUCAAUUCCGAUUCAUUUGUUUAAUUGAUAAUUUGAUAUGCAUUUCAAUUAUAUUAAUUGAAAUUAAUUUUUUUAGAUUUUUUUUUUACUAAUUUUUUUAUUUAGAUUAAUCUUCGUUAGAUUCUAAAGGUAUUUGGUUGUUUAAUUAUUUUAUUAUUUUUGAGUUUUUAGUCUUUAUUUAUUGCCCUUUUCCUGAAAAAUUUAUAGAUCCACCACUGAUUGGACAUGACAAAAUAAUAAAAGAUGUAUUGCCUGACAAACAUCAAUAGUGAAUAACUCAUGUCACGAAUGGUUUAUUAUGGUGACAAACAUCAAUAGUCACGGCCAUUGGCGGAUCUACAGAGGCAUAAGGAGGUGCAGUGCACCUCCUUUCGCCAGAAAAAGCUUUGGAGGUGCCUGAAAAUGCCCAUCUGCUAAUGCCCAUAGCAGCUAUGGUUGUCAUGCAAUGUUAGCUCUAUGAGGCGCCGUCAAUGGCUUAUUCCUCUCGAAGAAGAAGACCCAACCCUGACUCAACUUUUGUUUUCCUCUAGGUUUUAAGUGAACGACAUCGGAUUGAGAUGGUGGGUUUUUUUUAAUGAAACGAUGUGUUUCGUGUAGUCUGGUUUCAUACAAUAAAGACACCACCAUUUGGUUUGUAAAAUCCCCUAUUUUACCAAAACUCUGCCUUAUAAUUUCAUUCCAUAUAAUCACUACCAUUUUCAUUCACCCAAUAGAAUCAUUGCAUUUAGCCUCUAUUUUAAUGUUUGGAACUAGGGCUCGUCAAUGGGCCGGGCUUUAAAGAGGAGAGAAAAAUAUCGGGCAGGGUGUUUUUAGAAAAUUCAAAGCCCAAGCCCAACCCAUGAGACGGGCUUGAAAAAGCCCAUCGGGCCGGGCCGAGCUAAGCCCAACGGGCCAUGCCUAAACGGGCCCUACUUCAUUAAAAAAAAAUCAUAAACUUAAUCAUAAGGGCAUUUUAGUCCAAAUUUGAGAUUAAACUCACUUAAUUUCAAUAUUUUCACAUCA
Molecule: long non-coding RNA, 1353 nt
Filed under: Prunus persica (peach)
Lineage: Eukaryota; Viridiplantae; Streptophyta; Magnoliopsida; Rosales; Rosaceae
Description: long non-coding RNA (PPER_LNC007159)
Source: RNAcentral